RNAcentral lists this ribosomal RNA (497 nucleotides) under uncultured bacterium. Its description in RNAcentral is "partial 16S ribosomal RNA". It matches the Rfam family "Bacterial small subunit ribosomal RNA", at positions 28 to 507 of the family's 1533-position model. The record is from RNAcentral.
GAUGAACGCUGGCGGCGUGCCUAAUACAUGCAAGUCGAGCGAACAGACGAGGAGCUUGCUCCUCUGACGUUAGCGGCGGACGGGUGAGUAACACGUGGAUAACCUACCUAUAAGACUGGGAUAACUUCGGGAAACCGGAGCUAAUACCGGAUAAUAUAUUGAACCGCAUGGUUCAAUAGUGAAAGACGGCUUUGCUGUCACUUAUAGAUGGAUCCGCGCCGCAUUAGCUAGUUGGUAAGGUAACGGCUUACCAAGGCAACGAUGCGUAGCCGACCUGAGAGGGUGAUCGGCCACACGGGAACUGAGACACGGUCCAGACUCCUACGGGAGGCAGCAGUAGGGAAUCUUCCGCAAUGGGCGAAAGCCUGACGGAGCAACGCCGCGUGAGUGAUGAAGGUCUUCGGAUCGUAAAGCUCUGUUAUUAGGGAAGAACAAAUGUGUAAGUAACUAUGCACGUCUUGACGGUACCUAAUCAGAAAGCCACGGCUAACUACGUG